GGAUAACCUGAUAAGGGGAAGAGCAAGACCAUUCCAGAGGAAAGAGGGUCCUGAGCACAGAGAAAUGAGCAGGUAGAUUAUAAUGGGCCAUAAAGUCAAUGUCUGUGUUAAGUCCCAGAUUUUUAGUAUCCAGUAGUUAUUAAUGUUUGUUCCCAGACCUGUCUUUUGAAGAUGUUUUAUAAAUGUCUCUUGAGAAUGAGGCUUGUGAGGUCAGAAAGCGCACAGUUGUUCCAAUAAAAGAGAUCACCCUUGCCAUAUUUUCUGGACCAUCGUGGCUACAAUAUUAUUCCAGCACUACCCAUAAAAGAUCAUCCAUUCUGCAUGCAUGCACACAUCAUGCUCCAAAGACCCAUGGGUGCACAGUGGGCUAUCUCAGAGGCAUGAUCAGUCUUGGCACAGUGGACUGUGUCACACCUGAACCUGUUAAGCGAGCUGGAGUUGCAUAGGAACCCAAAGUCAUUCUUUCAACCUGGUGAUGAUGUAGGAGUUCCUGGAAGCUGUCUCCUGCAAUGGUUUAGCUGUUUAGAGAGUGCGCAGCACUGUCCAGCCAGCAUUACUGUUACAUACAGUGGCAGGUUCUUGAACAGUGUCAAGUGUGGUUCAGUGUAUUAGCUGUAUUGGGAUGCCACAUUUCACAUAAAGAGUUGUUUGUGUGGACCAGUAAUCAUAACACAUUUGUUGGUUUCAGUGUGCCUAUAAUAAUUCUUGUGAUGUGAUUAAACUGGAUAUCUACUACUAAGGUGUGGGCUCAGUUUAACUCAAAUGGGGCAAAGAAUUCACCAACUAAAGAGCAGAAAUCAAGACCUGAAUUAAUCAGCAUUUGUAUACUGCCUUCCCAGAUAAACCAUACUAAUUUGCUAAGGAGAUUGUUUCUACUCUUUAUCAGCUUACCUACUUGCAUGAUACAUGAAACAAUGUAUGUUUCCAGUUGUGACCAGUUGUAUGACAGAGUAAGUUCUUUUCAAAACUUAAUAAGAGUUUCCAGUAAGUGUGACACCCCGGGAGGCAAUAUGAGUGAGGCAGCAGGAACUCCUUGAUGUGGCAGGAGAGCCCCAUACCCUUGCAAGGACAGUAGCAUGACUGUUACUUCUUUACUGUAAAAAGUUCUUUAUAUAAGUUCUUAGAAAUAAUAAAGCUGUUUCCACACCCCAAGCCUCAUCAAGAUACUACAGACUGCAUCCAGCAGUUCAUUUACCCUGCACCAGCUCAGUCUCCACUUCAGGCACAAGAUACAGUGCUCAGUAAACAGCUGCUGCAGAUUUCUUAGCAGCUGUGAAGGAGUUAACACAGGAGUCUACCCCUUCUGCUCACUGGGCCACAGAGGUGGCAACCAUUUUGACAGCCAUUAGAGCAGUCUGCAUGCUUCUAUUCCAGUUAAGAAA
This is a long non-coding RNA of Gavialis gangeticus (Gharial), 1382 nucleotides long. RefSeq lists it as uncharacterized. Lineage: Eukaryota; Metazoa; Chordata; Crocodylia; Gavialidae. The transcript has 2 exons. The record is from RefSeq and is a predicted model, not a curated record.